Molecule: non-coding RNA, 654 nt
Organism: Odocoileus virginianus texanus
Lineage: Eukaryota; Metazoa; Chordata; Mammalia; Artiodactyla; Cervidae
Source: RefSeq, a predicted model, not a curated record
GACUUUCACUUUCAUAUGUACUAUGAAAAUUGUGCAUAUCAAACAAAAGAUCACUUGGUUCCAGUGAAGAACAUAACUUUUUAAAGGGAUUAAGAAGAAGAAAUAACAAUUUAUUUGAAUUUCACAUGGAUUCCUUAAAAAAUAAGCCUCUGCAGGCAAGGAAGAUCAAACAAAUAAUAGAAGUCUGUUGAAGCUUUGUCCUGACCUAUUCUGGAAGUAGAAGAAUACGCUGGAGAAAGGAGCAUUGUAAGCACAAAGAAUAAAACCCCUCAAUCCUGGGAGAGAGAAUUAAAGUCUAACCCUCCAAAUGACUGGACCUCAGAGGGUGAAAACUGUGCCUGGGGACCUGACCCUUUCUUGUCAGAGUGGAGAAUAACAUUCAUUUGUUUGGGCUGCUCUAAUGUGAUACUGGAAUUGAAUUUACCUAGGGCUCCAUAUCAAGGUUGACUUGCAAGUCUUCUUGAAGAUCUGGGAGAAAUAGGUAUUAAGUCAUGAUGCAGGAAUCUGCGACAGAGACAAUAAGCAACAGUUCAAUGAAUCAAAAUGGAAUGAGCACUCUAAGCAGCCAAUUAGAUGCUGGCAGCAGAGAUGGAAGAUCAAGUGGUGACACCAGCUCUGAAGUGAGCACAGUAGAACUGCUGCAUCUGCAACAAC